GGAUUAUACACUAUAAAGUGAUCAAAUCAAUUAUAUUUGUUGUAUGUAAAGAGUGAAAGAUAUGGCUCAUAAGCUUGUGUAUGCUAUAACUUUAUUUAUUUUCCUAUUUCUUAUCGCAAAUAAUAUUGAGGAUGAUAUUUUUUGUAUAACUGAUAAUGAUUGCCCACCAAAUACGCUAGUUCAAAGGUAUAGGUGCAUUAAUGGCAAAUGUAAUCUGUCUUUUGUGUCCUACGGAUAGUAUGAGUCUCAUACUCAGAAUAUUACAAUGACACCAUGCAUGGAAGACUGAGUUCUUACACUUGCAAUAAGAAAUAACAAAUAUAUAUUUUGCUAAAAUCUUUUAUAGUUACCAUUUAUUUAUGGUCGUGAAUCCUAAUAAUUGUAUAUUUAUAUAUAUAUGUAUUUUUUUUAUCACCAUGAUCUUUAACUUAAGAAUAUGAAAUUAUAUUUAAAGACCUACCACAUAUAACUUCAAUUUUAUAUCAUUAGAUUGUCACGGUAAUGAAUUUUCAAACAAUGUCA
RNA transcript from Medicago truncatula (barrel medic), 522 nucleotides. RefSeq lists it as uncharacterized. NCBI's taxonomy places the organism in Eukaryota, Viridiplantae, Streptophyta, Magnoliopsida, Fabales, Fabaceae. The record is from RefSeq and is a predicted model, not a curated record. The transcript has 2 exons.